CCGCCGGGGGGCUUCUGCCCCCGGGUCCGCGCGCACCGGAGACACUAUUGAACUCUGUCUGAAGAUUGCAGUCUGAGCAUAAACUAAAUAAGUUAAAACUUUCAACAACGGAUCUCUUGGUUCCGGCAUCGAUGAAGAACGCAGCGAAAUGCGAUAACUAAUGUGAAUUGCAGAAUUCAGUGAAUCAUCGAGUCUUUGAACGCACAUUGCGCCCCCUGGUAUUCCGGGGGGCAUGCCUGUCCGAGCGUCAUUGCUGCCCUCAAGCACGGCUUGUGUGUUGGGCUCCGUCCCCCCGGGGACGGGUCCGAAAGGCAGCGGCGGCACCGAGUCCGGUCCUCGAGCGUAUGGGGCUUUGUCACCCGCUCUGUAGGCCCGGCCGGCGCCAGCCGACAACCAAUCAUCCUUUUUUCAGGUUGACCUCGGAUCAGGUAGGGAUACCCGCUGAACUUAAGCAUAUCAAUAAGCGG
RNAcentral lists this ribosomal RNA (467 nucleotides) under Penicillium sp. RNAcentral's name for it is "eukaryotic LSU rRNA". The stretch from base 97 to 250 matches the Rfam family "5.8S ribosomal RNA". The record is from RNAcentral. Lineage: Eukaryota; Fungi; Ascomycota; Eurotiomycetes; Eurotiales; Aspergillaceae.